GUUGUGUACUUAGGUUAUUCAAGUGAAGUUUUAAUGUUAUCCAAUAUACUUGUAUAAGUCAAAUUAUGAUUUCGUUUUUGGACCUUUCAGGAAUAUUAGAAUAUGGGGCACUUGUUACACGUGAGUGAAAUGGAAAAGAAGAUUGAAACUCUAGCAAAAAUCACUUGGAUGUUAUUAAAAAAAUAAGAUAAUGGAUCUGGGGAUGGCAAUCAUACACAAAUGACGUAUGCGGAAGAUAGGAAAGUGGAUGUCAAUGCCUAUAUGCAUGCCCAUGGCUAUUUGGUUUCAGUAUUAAUGUUUGUAGGUAGGUUGGUUGUUUAUGGCAUAAACUUCAUAUAGAAAGAAUGAUUCAAAUGGCUUCARGUUUGAUUUGUGGUAAAGAAUCUUAAAUUAUUGUUUGUUUGUUUGUCUAUAAUGAAACAAGCAUUCCUAUCUCUUCAAAA
Molecule: long non-coding RNA, 443 nt
Organism: Cynara cardunculus var. scolymus (artichoke)
Lineage: Eukaryota; Viridiplantae; Streptophyta; Magnoliopsida; Asterales; Asteraceae
Exons: 2
Source: RefSeq, a predicted model, not a curated record